RNAcentral lists this long non-coding RNA (3134 nucleotides) under Vigna radiata. Its description in RNAcentral is "long non-coding RNA (VRAD_LNC002400)". The record is from RNAcentral. Lineage: Eukaryota; Viridiplantae; Streptophyta; Magnoliopsida; Fabales; Fabaceae.
AUCAUUGCCGUUAAUAUUAAUCAUCUUGAUAUUGGCUUUGGGGUGUUACCUGUGUGGCCGGGCCAAGGGUCGGCGACAAAACCCACAGCAGUAUGGGCCUCCUGCUCCUCCAGUACAGGCCCAACCCAAAUAAUGCCUACCCUCUGUGGUUUGAGUUUGUUCAUCAUCAACACUGCAGCCACUUUGGAUUGGAGUUUGAAAACUAUACAUAUAUAUCAACACAUCCAGCUUUUUUUCUUGGAUAACAUGGUUAUCUAUCUACACAGUUGAUGAAAAACUAGUACAAUGGAAUGCUACGGUUCAUAGCUUAAUAUUGAAUAAAAUAGUAGAGCAUUGAAAUUUGUUUCCACAUUAGUGGGUAUAUUUGGUGAUUAAAUAUUUAAGGUACAAGAACUGGUUGAUGCUAUGAGAGUAUGUAAAGAGGCAUUACAUAUUAGUAUGUGUUGGACAAGUUUAUGAGAACUCUAACUCCAAGAUUUAAUCAUGUUGUUAUGGUUAUUGAGAAAACUCGUGAUUUGAAGGAGAUUGAAGAACUUCAACAUUUAUUGAAAGUACAUGAAUACCGUAUUAAUGAGUGAAGACACUCUUAAGAACAAAUACUCCAAGCUUGAUCUCAAUACAAAGAUAAAGAAAGGGUUCAAGAAAGGUGACAAAAGUGGCAUUAAGCACAUUCUAACGAUCCUAUCAAAGGCAAAAAGAAAAAAUCUUGCACCAAUUUUGAUGGAGAUAUAGAAGUUUGAUAAAAAUAAAAAUAAAGGUAAGGUGCUAUAUCUGUCAGAAAUUUGGAAAUUUUGCCAAAGAAUGUUGGAAAAGGGAUGGAGCCAAGAACAAACCAAAAGAUAGAGCUCAUCUAGCACAAGAUGAUACUUCAAAUUUCGAGGUUGUUAUGUUAAUGGCCAGUAUAAAUGAAAACUAGUCCGAUGAUGCAAUUUGGUACUUGGAUUCAAGUUGUUCAACACAUAUGACUAGAAAGAAGGAGUGGUUUGUAAAAAUGAAAGAAGCCAUGCAAGGGAAGAUUAAGUUUGCUGAUAACAAAAGUCUCACGGUAGGGGGACCUGGAAGAGUUGUUUUGAGAGAUAGUGAUGAUAGAGAAGUUGUGAUUGAUGAAGUGUUAUAUGUUCCUGUUGAAAACAAAUUUACUAAGUCUAGGCCAACUGCUCCAAAACGGAUUUGUGAUGAAAAUGGAUGACAAUUGUCUCAAUAUCUUUGAUCAAAAUAGAAGAUCAAUCAUUCAAGCUCAUCUAGACAUUUCGUGUGGUGAUGAAUGUUGUCAAACAUCACUGUUUUGUUGUUUCUAAAAACAAAACAGAAUGGUUAUGGGAUUUGAGGUUUGGACGUCUAAAUUUUAGAUAUUUAUCUCAACUGAGUUAGCAAAAAAUGGUUGAAGGCCUACCUAUGAUUGAAAUUCCUAAAGCAAUAUGUAAAGAAUGCAUUCAAUGUAAGCAAACUAGAGGAAAAUUUCAUAAGUUCUUGCCUCAAAGGACAAUAGAGAAAUUGAAUGUGGUAUAUUCAGAUGUGUGUGGGCAUUUUCAAACUAAAACACUUGGAGACUGGAAGUAUUUCUUGUUCUUUGUUGAUGAUUGGACCAGGAAAAGCUGGACAUACUUGCUAUCAAGGAAUAAUGAGGUGUUGCAAGUUCUAAUAAAAUUCAAGAAUAUGGUAGAAAGACAAAGUGAAAAAAAGAUAAAAACCAUCAGGAUAGAUGGAGGAGGAGAGUAUACGUCUAUAGAACAUGAGAUUAUCCCUCCUUAUAUUUGGAAGAUAUAAUCAUUCACUAAACAUUCAAUCAAGAGUCGAGACUCUUCAAUACACGCCUAACUUGAGUGUCAUGUGUCUUUUGUAAGUACCUCCUCUCUCUAUUAGGGAGGCGACCGAACCGUUAAAGCUUGAAUAUCACCGAGCAGCCAAGAUUGCAGACGAUCGAACGAUCCAGACAGAAAGAAGAUAAUCGAAAAACCUAAUUUAAACAUUGGAAAGCGGUAAAGCCACAAGAAGAUUAGUCUAUUAAUCUCACAAAAAAUCUACACUGAAACAAUUUAUAUUUAAUUUUACUUAAUUUUGAAACUUAUACACUUAAAAGUAUUUAUUUUAUUAAUAAAUUCAAAGUAAAUUUCAAAAAUCUGUAUACAUAAUCGUGUAAAUUACUCCAUCGUGUAUUAUUAUACAUGAUCGUGAUGGUGUUGCGAUGACUUUGGAUCCAAAUUAAAGAAGGUUGCCCUUAUCAAUCAUCAUCAAAUUCCCAAGCGAAACCAUCUUCACUCAUUCACUCAAUCGACCACCACGGAUUCAAUCUUCAAUAGUGCUUUAAUUACACCCUCUUAAAGAUUGAAUCUAUACGUUUCAAACUAUCCAACAGUAUUGUGACACGUAGAAUACGCUUCACCGACGAACCGUGUCACAAGCUUGAAUCUUAUUGCUGCUCCACCACUUCCAUUAUCGUAAUCAGAUUGCAUCUAUUUCUUCCCUUCAAUCUUUCAUUAAAUCUCUUUCCUCGCUCUCCACCUCCUGUGUUGCAGAAGCUGCUCCCUUCACUGACAUAAUCGCCAACAGGUACGCCUUAUGUAAUUUCUUAAUUCAAUUUCUUUCUUCCCAUUCAAACAAUAUCCAAUAAAUUAUCAUUUCUUGAUUCUCAAUUUAUCUGUUGUUUCAAUUUUGGAAUGAAACCCAUAUGUCGGUCAAUCAUGCUUCAGUUCAUUUGGAAAAUUAAAUCACGAAUAUCCUUUUAGUUCUGAGGGAUGAAGAUGUGAUGUCGUAGGUAUAAUCUGUAACUAAAGACCAAAGAAAGUAAAGUUAAGAGUUCAGAAUGGGAUUCGUGGUGGUGAUAUCAUUGCCGUUAAUAUUGAUCAUCUUGAUAUUGGCUUUGGGGUGUUACCUGUGUGGCCGGGCCAAGGGUCGGCGACAAAACCCACAGCAGUAUGGGCCUCCUGCUCCUCCAGUACAGGCCCAACCCAAAUAAUGCCUACCUUGUGGUUCAUAGCUUAAUCUUGAAUAAAAUAGUAGAGCAUUGAAAUUUGUUUCCACAUUAGUGGGUAUAUUUGGUGAUUAAAUAUUUAAGUUCAUGACUUCAAAAAAAAAAAAUGAAGUAAAAUUAAUUAGUUAUUUGAUUUUCGUGUUUAAAUUAUAGUUUGUUUCAA